This is a long non-coding RNA of Drosophila teissieri, 780 nucleotides long. RefSeq lists it as uncharacterized. The transcript has 2 exons. NCBI's taxonomy places the organism in Eukaryota, Metazoa, Arthropoda, Insecta, Diptera, Drosophilidae. The record is from RefSeq and is a predicted model, not a curated record.
UUGAACCAGAGGCAGUGAAAUGUGAAUUGAAAUCACUUACUUUGGCCAUAAAGUUAAUCAACAAAGUAUACACACAUGGAGACACUCAAAUACACUAAGAACAAAUAUGGGAAAGGUCAAAGUAACCCCAUAUAUUUGAUAAACGUAAUAACAACCUGAAGCGAAAGCUUCAAAAAGGUUGUUUUAAUGGGUUGCUGCCAAACAUCAUAUCUAAUGCGUUUUUGGUUUAUUUAUGCCAACCAUUCUUAUUGUAGCUCCACAGGCGAAAAAAUCGGUGGAAAUGCCAACACAGGUGCACGGAGAGUGCCGAUAGGCUGGAAAAUCCGGAAAACUCACGCCUACACUUUCAUUGCCAGCAUCGCGUUGCCUUUUCGCUGUCGAGAUUCGCAUAAUUUCCACUUUUCGGUCGCGCUCAACACUACCUAAAUUAUUGUUUAUUUUUUUCCCAACAAAACAACUGUGAGGUGAGACUGUGAGACCAGACCAGCUGUGGGCGGGUCAGUGUGACCCUAUCGCGGUGUGGUGAAAAUCCCAGUGCGCUGCGCUGUUAAGGCUCUAUGACACGAAAGCAUGUUGAAAAUAAACUUUUUCAAAAUUAAUUUAUUCCUUAGAUCUAAUUGAAUAUUUACAAAUUAGCAAUAUAUAUAAUAUAAAACUAGCUCGGAUGACCAAAGAAUAUAAUAGUCUUAUUGUUUGUGAAUACUUUGCAAUAUACUUUGUAAUACUAAUUUUAGUGUUUGUUAAAAAUAUUACUUACCUGAAAUUAAAAUCCAAAUAUUU